CAAACAUCGUGCACCCAGGACAGAACCUAGCGGGCGGUUGAACAAGAAGGGGACGAGCAGGGCGAGGGCCACCUGGGCUGGGCUGAGGGGCUUCUCUGCAGAGAAUCGGGGUGCGGGGUCGCCAUACACGUGGGAACGACGGCCGACGCUCGUUUGAAAGAACACCCGGGCCGAGAUGGCCCACCAGUGAAAAGAAAUAUUGACCCUUGUUUUGUUUUGCUUUCCCUCAGUGGGUGUUGGCGACCGCGGUUCACCAGGGGGCGGUGACAGCGCGCUGUGCGGCCCCGCGCUCCCCAAACGGGCCGUCCACGGCCUUCGGUGCUUUCGGAUCCCGUCUUCGUGGCGUCUUCAUCCACUUACAGGCGACGGUGACCCGUGAUGGCCAGGCCGAGCUCUCAUAGACUCUCACGAUCCUCUACUUUGGCCGUUAGUGAAUUCUCAAGCUAAAGCAAAAAAUUAGGAACUGCCUCUGGUCGUCCGCUCAGGUUCCUGUACCCCCCGGAAAGCUCUUGGAUCCGUACGGGUCGUCGCAAGCGGCAAGAUUUCUUCCCUCUAUGGCCGGGCAGUAGUCCAUCGACCUUUGCUGCCUGGUUUGAAGAUUGAAACUCCAUCCUGUAGAUUCAGAUUCAGGCUGAACUUUGGCAGAAAAUUCUCAGAACAAGCAUGUGUUCUAGGGUGGCGUUUCAGUCCUGGAGAAGCAGCUGCUAAGAUGAGAUUGGAUUUGCAGGAGAUUCACUGGGGAAAAUCCCUAAGAAGGAUAAAGGGGAGAGAGUGUGGAGGCUGGAGAGCUCCCCUGGGACCGGGACGCUUGUCCGACACCUGGGAGAAGAGGAGGAGAGAGGAGAGCUUCAGAGUUUGCUGCAGCUCCGAGAAGGUCUGGGCCAGGCAACAGGGAAGCCCGGAGCCAUGAUGGCCCAGUAGAGCAUCCUGUGAUGGGGACAGGCUCCCGGGCUUUGUGUGAGAGCUGCCUCGCUUCACCUGAACCGCUGUGCAUCCUCCCGGUACAAGCUGGCAGCCGGCCGUGUUGCCUGUAGCAGCAGCUCCUGGACGGAAGGAUUGAACAGUGCAUUCCCAUAAUUGUCAGCCAUACAGGGAGUAUUUCCCCCCAAAUGCACAGCAAAAAACAAACAAAAAAACCCACCUAAAAUUUGUUGAGGGCUUCUCACAGAUUUCAGGUUAUAGCUAAAACCAAACCUUCAGUAGUUGAAGGUUUUUGCAAAGAUUUCACUUAAUAGCCAGGAGGUAGAAAAAGCCUCUCCUGCGGGACGGUUGAAAGCAGCGCAGCGGCCUGGGAAUUCGAGGCUGCCCGGCAGGAGCUAGGCCGAUGUCCGGUCCUACAGAGGAGACUGCGAAGUGUGUCACUCUGCGGAUGCUCUGUCGCUGAGAGCAUUAAGUCUGAUAAUUAAUUCUCCGCUUUUAAGAGAUGAGAUGACAAGUGCAGCGAGGCCUUGAGCGUGGUGGGAUCACGCUUGAGGAUUAGCAGGGUGAGGUGGAUGCAGAUUUGGGGGGGAUCCUGUUUUGUUCCCUGCGCCCCAGGGAGACAGAGGUGGAGAAGCGUGUUCAUAGGGGAUUUAGAGACCUGGGCUUCGCUUCCGGCAUUUUCGCAGAUUCAGGUUGCUUGGCGCAUCUGGACGUCAGAGUCUCGGGUGGAAACGUGGCAGCUGUCCCGCGGUUCUAACCUGCCAGGGGCAGGUGGGCAAAUUUAAAUUUUAGGUCGACCGUGAAUACCAGGCGUGGGUCCACGUUUUCUGGGGGCCCGACGCUUACAUAACCUGUAGGAGCCCCUUUUAUUUUUUUAUUUUAUUUUAUUUUUUUAAAGAUUUUAUUUAUUUAUUCAUGAGACACACACACACACAGAGAGAGAGAGAGAGAGAGAG
Canis lupus familiaris (dog) is the source of this 1877-nucleotide long non-coding RNA. RefSeq lists it as uncharacterized. The transcript has 3 exons. NCBI's taxonomy places the organism in Eukaryota, Metazoa, Chordata, Mammalia, Carnivora, Canidae. The record is from RefSeq and is a predicted model, not a curated record.